Molecule: ribosomal RNA, 1702 nt
Filed under: Johnius belangerii (Belanger's croaker)
Lineage: Eukaryota; Metazoa; Chordata; Actinopteri; Sciaenidae
Description: 16S ribosomal RNA
Rfam family: Bacterial large subunit ribosomal RNA
Source: RNAcentral
GCCAGCCGCACAGAGUUAAAAACAACUUCUCUCUUUUAUAAUGGAUACCCCCGAAGACAUUUGAAAUAUGUUUAAAUAAAUCAUUUUUUCCCCGAGUAUGGGCGACAAAAAAGGAAUUAGUUGCGCCGUAGGAAAAGUACCGUAAGGGAACGCUGAAAGAGAAAUGAAAUAAAUCAGUUAAGUUUAAAAAAGCAGAGAUUAAAUCUUGUACCUUUUGCAUAAUGGUUUAGCCAGAAAUUUUCAAGCAAAGAGCACUUUAGUUUGAUACCCCGAAACUAGGUGAGCUACUCCAAGACAGCCUAAUGCAGGGCUAACCCGUCUCUGUGGCAAAAGAGUGGGAUGAGCUUCGAGUAGCAGUGACAGGCCUAUCGAACCUAGUUAUAGCUGGUUGCCUGAGAGAUGAAUAGGAGUUCAGCUCUUCGAAUUCUUUUUUCGUAACAAAAUAAAUUGUUUCAGAUUAUAGGAGAAGUUGAAGGAGUUAGUUAAAAGGGGUACAGCCCUUUUGACAGAAGGUACAACUUUUUUAGGGGGGUAGAGAUCUUAUAUUUAGUGCUAAGGUAAAAUGUUUUGGUGGGCCUGAAAGCAGCCAUCCUUGUAGAAUGCGUUAUACCUCAUAUAUACAUUUUACCCUAAAUUUUGAUAAACCAUGUCUCAGCCCUCUAUUGGCUAUCAGGCCGCCCCAUGCAGUUAUGGGGGUGAUUAUGCUAAAAUGAGUAAUAAGAGGGUGCAUUAGCGCCCCUCUCCCGGCAUAAGUGUAACUCGGAUCGGACUGCCCGCCGAAUUUUAACGGUCCCAAAAUCAAGGAGGGUUUUGAGCAAUGAGCCCAUCAACUAGAAAACUGCUCAAUACUUUGACCGUUGAGCCUACACAGGUGUGCUUCUGAGGAAAGACUAAAUGAAAGAGAAGGAAUUCGGCAAAUGUAUUCAAGCCUCGCCUGUUUCCCAAAAACAUCGCCUCUUGUAAUCUUAAAAUAGGAGGUCCAGCCUGCCCAAAGACCAUGUGUUUAACGGCUGCGGUAUUUUAACCGUGCGAAGGUAGCGUGAUCACUUGUCUUUUAAAUGGAGACCCGUAUGAAUGGUUAAACGAGGGCUUAGCUGUCUCCUUUUUCAUGUCAAUGAAAUUGAUUUUUCCGUGCAAAGGCGGGAAUUAUCUCAUAAGACGAGAAGACCCUGUGAAGCUUUAGAUGAUAAAACAGAUCCAGUUGGCGGCUCCCUAAUAAAGGACUAAGUCACACAAUCCCUGUUUUAGCGUCUUCGGUUGGGGCGACCACGGGGAGUUAUGUAACCCCCGCGUGGACUGGGUGCAAGAAUGUUUUUGUUCCUAAAGCCGAGAGCCUCCGCUCUAACAAACAGAAUUUCUGACCUUGUAAGAUCCGGCAAUGCUGAUCAACGAACCAAGUUACUCCAGGGAUAACAGCGCCAUCCUCUUUCAGAGCCCUUAUCGACAAGAGGGUUUACGACCUCGAUGUUGGAUCAGGACAUCCUAAUGGUGUAGCCGCUAUUAAGGGUUCGUUUGUUCAACGAUUAACAGUCCUACGUGAUCUGAGUUCAGACCGGAGAAAUCCAGGUCAGUUUCUAUCUAUGACUUAAUUUUUUUCUAGUACGAAAGGACCGAAAAGAAGAGGCCCAUAUUUUUAAUACGCCUCCCUCUAACCUAUUGCAGAUAACUAAAAUAGGUGAAAGAAGAUACUUAUAUUAGGUAC